Molecule: ribosomal RNA, 213 nt
Filed under: uncultured bacterium
Lineage: Bacteria
Description: partial 16S ribosomal RNA
Rfam family: Bacterial small subunit ribosomal RNA
Source: RNAcentral
GACGAACGCUGGCGGCGUGCUUAACACAUGCAAGUCGAACGAUCGAAGGCCUUUCGGGUGGAUUAGUGGCGAACGGGUGAGUAACACGUGGGCAAUCUGCCCUGUACUUUGGGAUAAGCCGUUAGGAAACGGGGUCUAAUACCGGGAUAUCACUUACCUCCGCAUGGGGGUUUGUUGAAAGUUCGUGGCGGUACAGGAUGAGCCCGCGGCCUA